RNAcentral lists this ribosomal RNA (500 nucleotides) under uncultured bacterium. Its description in RNAcentral is "partial 16S ribosomal RNA". It matches the Rfam family "Bacterial small subunit ribosomal RNA", at positions 30 to 523 of the family's 1533-position model. The record is from RNAcentral.
AUUGAACGCUGGCGGCAUGCCUUACACAUGCAAGUCGAACGGCAGCACGGGAGCAAUCCUGGUGGCGAGUGGCGAACGGGUGAGUAAUAUAUCGGAACGUGCCCAGUCGUGGGGGAUAACGCAGCGAAAGCUGUGCUAAUACCGCAUACGAUCUAAGGAUGAAAGCGGGGGAUCGCAAGACCUCGCGCGAUUGGAGCGGCCGAUAUCAGAUUAGCUAGUUGGUGGGGUAAAGGCCCACCAAGGCGACGAUCUGUAGCUGGUCUGAGAGGACGACCGGCCACACUGGAACGGAGAAACGGUCCAGGCUCCUACGGGAGGCAGCAGUGGGGAAUUUUGGACAAUGGGCGCAAGCCUGAUCCAGCCAUGCCGCGUGCACGAUGAAGGCCUUCGGGUUGUAAACUGCUUUUGUACGGAACGAAACGGCCCUUUCUAAUACAGGGGGCUAAUGACGGUACCGUAAGAAUAAGCACCGGCUAACUACGUGCCAGCCGCCGCAGUAA